Molecule: ribosomal RNA, 442 nt
Filed under: uncultured bacterium
Lineage: Bacteria
Description: partial 16S ribosomal RNA
Rfam family: Bacterial small subunit ribosomal RNA
Source: RNAcentral
CCUACGGGCGGCAGCAGUGGGGAAUAUUGGGCAAUGGGCGCAAGCCUGACCCAGCAACGCCGCGUGAAGGAAGAAGGCUUUCGGGUUGUAAACUUCUUUUAAGCGGGAAGAGCAGAAGACGGUACCUCUCGAAUAAGCCAUGGCUAACUACGUGCCAGCAGCCGCGGGAAUACGUAGGUCGCAAGCGUUGUCCGGAUUUACUGGGUGUAACGGGCGUGCAGCCGGGAAGACAAGUCAGAUGUGAAAUCCCGCGGCUCAACCGCGGAACUGCAGUUGAAACUGUUUUUCUUGAGUACCGGAGAGGUCAUCGGAAUGCCUGGUGUAGCGGUGAAAUGCGUAGAUAUAACGAAGAACACCAGUGGCGAAGGCGGAUGACUGGACGGCAACUGACGGUGAGGCGCGAAAGCGUGGGGAGCGAACAGGAUUAGAUACCCCAGUAGUC